This 253-nucleotide ribosomal RNA is filed under the name uncultured bacterium. RNAcentral's name for it is "partial 16S ribosomal RNA". It matches the Rfam family "Bacterial small subunit ribosomal RNA", at positions 524 to 776 of the family's 1533-position model. The record is from RNAcentral.
UACGUAGGGUGCAAGCGUUGUCCGGAAUUAUUGGGCGUAAAGAGCUCGUAGGCGGUUUGUCGCGUCUGCUGUGAAAUCCCGAGGCUCAACCUCGGGCCUGCAGUGGGUACGGGCAGACUAGAGUGCGGUAGGGGAGAUUGGAAUUCCUGGUGUAGCGGUGAAAUGCGCAGAUAUCAGGAGGAACACCGGUGGCGAAGGCGGGACUCUGGGCCGAUACUGACGCUGAGGAGCGAAAGCGUGGGGAGCAGACAGG